CCAUGUGGCCUCUCCCGGUGUGGGAUUCUGCCAUAGGACAUUAAUAAAGGAAAUUUUUCAGUUGCGAAGUGCUUUGCUCUUUCAGUUCACAAUGCCGAUCAGUACUUCCUCGUAUGAUAGAUCCUCCUGAAGUGGAAGAGACUCGUGCACCAAGACAUGAGAGGGUUCGGGUUGUACUUGCGUAGCAUAGACACAUGAAACACGUUAUGGACCCUGAAAAUUUUUGGAGACAGUGCCAAUCUGU
RNAcentral lists this long non-coding RNA (244 nucleotides) under Carica papaya (papaya). Its description in RNAcentral is "long non-coding RNA (CPAP_LNC010361)". Lineage: Eukaryota; Viridiplantae; Streptophyta; Magnoliopsida; Brassicales; Caricaceae. The record is from RNAcentral.